RNAcentral lists this ribosomal RNA (520 nucleotides) under uncultured Glomus. RNAcentral's name for it is "SSU rRNA". It matches the Rfam family "Eukaryotic small subunit ribosomal RNA", at positions 569 to 1092 of the family's 1831-position model. Lineage: Eukaryota; Fungi; Glomeromycota; Glomeromycetes; Glomerales; Glomeraceae. The record is from RNAcentral.
AGCAGCCGCGGUAAUUCCAGCUCCAAUAGCGUAUAUUAAAGUUGUUGCAGUUAAAAAGCUCGUAGUUGAAUUUCGAGACCGGCUUACUGGUCGUGCUUUUGUACGUACUGGUGUAAUCGGUUUCUCCUUUCUGACGAACUAUAAUGCCAUUAAUUUGGUGUUAUAGGGAAUCAGGACUGUUACUUUGAAAAAAUUAGAGUGUUUAAAGCAGGCUCACGCUUGAAUACAUUAGCAUGGAAUAACGGAAUAGGACGUUUGAUUCUAUUUUGUUGGUUUCUAGGAUCGACGUAAUGAUUAAUAGGGAUAGUUGGGGGCAUUAGUAUUCAAUUGUCAGAGGUGAAAUUCUUGGAUUUAUUGAAGACUAACCACUGCGAAAAGCAUUUGCCAAGGAUGUUUUCAUUAAUCAAGAACGAAAGUUAGGGAUCGAAGACGAUCAGAUACCGUCGUAGUCUUAACCAUAAACUAUGCGACUAGGGAUCGGAUGAUGUUAAUUUUUAAUGUACUCAUUCGGCGCCUUACG